CUUUGUAUUCUUCCACAGCUUUCUUGAACUGCAUCUAAGAGUUCCUUUGCAUGCAUGUAAUGUACUCUCCAACUCUGCGGUUCAAUAAAGCUGUGGGAAGAUACAGAAA
Lupinus angustifolius (narrow-leaved blue lupine) is the source of this 109-nucleotide non-coding RNA. NCBI's taxonomy places the organism in Eukaryota, Viridiplantae, Streptophyta, Magnoliopsida, Fabales, Fabaceae. The record is from Rfam.